CCCUUAGAUGUUCUGGGCAGCACGCGCGCUACAAUGGUCUUCGCAAACGGAUGCAUUCUCGAAGGAGAAUGCCAAUCUUGGAAUCUAUGCCUUGGUCGGGACAGUUGCUUGCAAUUUUUCGACUCGAACCAGGAAUUCCUUGUAAUCGUGAUUCAUCACAUCACGAUGAAUACGUCCCUGCCCUUUGUACACACCGCCCGUCGCUCCUACCGAUCGAAGAGUUAGGUGAAUUGUUUUAAUCGAUAAGAUUUGACUAUGGUCAACUCUCGUUGUGAAAUUCUGUGAAUCUGACUGUUUAGAGGAAGGAAAAGUCGUAACA
RNAcentral lists this ribosomal RNA (319 nucleotides) under uncultured eukaryote. RNAcentral describes it as "partial 18S ribosomal RNA". It matches the Rfam family "Eukaryotic small subunit ribosomal RNA", at positions 1470 to 1796 of the family's 1831-position model. The record is from RNAcentral.